RNAcentral lists this transfer RNA (67 nucleotides) under Marmota monax (woodchuck). Its description in RNAcentral is "tRNA.Ala". Lineage: Eukaryota; Metazoa; Chordata; Mammalia; Rodentia; Sciuridae. The record is from RNAcentral.
GGAGGUAGCUCAGUGGUAAGGCACUUGCCCAGCAUGUGGGAGGCACUGGGUUCGAUUCUCAGCACCA